Molecule: ribosomal RNA, 497 nt
Filed under: uncultured bacterium
Lineage: Bacteria
Description: partial 16S ribosomal RNA
Rfam family: Bacterial small subunit ribosomal RNA
Source: RNAcentral
GAUGAACGCUGGCGGCGUGCCUAAUACAUGCAAGUCGAGCGAACAGAUAAGGAGCUUGCUCCUUUGACGUUAGCGGCGGACGGGUGAGUAACACGUGGGUAACCUACCUAUAAGACUGGAAUAACUCCGGGAAACCGGGGCUAAUGCCGGAUAACAUGUUGAACCGCAUGGUUCUACAGUGAAAGGCGGCUUUGCUGUCACUUAUAGAUGGACCCGCGCCGUAUUAGCUAGUUGGUGAGGUAACGGCUCACCAAGGCAACGAUACGUAGCCGACCUGAGAGGGUGAUCGGCCACACUGGAACUGAGACACGGUCCAGACUCCUACGGGAGGCAGCAGUAGGGAAUCUUCCGCAAUGGGCGAAAGCCUGACGGAGCAACGCCGCGUGAGUGAUGAAGGUCUUCGGAUCGUAAAACUCUGUUAUUAGGGAAGAACAAAUGCGUGAGUAACUGUGCGCGUCUUGACGGUACCUAAUCAGAAAGCCACGGCUAACUACGUG